CAAACUUUGAACCUACAUUUUAACCACACAAUCAUCAAUAUGCAGAACGAGCACGGACAGGGCAUUUCCCACGCGGUUGGUGACUCCAAGGUUCCUGGAUCCGUCCAGCAGAAGGCACCCCAGGGUCUUGAGGAGAGCCUUCCCAACAAGGUCCACGACACUGGCUCCGGCACUGGUCGCCAGACCCAUGCCAAGGAUGGCGGCGACGCCUCCAUAGUCCCCAAGGGCAUCCAGAAGGCCGUCCCCGAGAAGCUCGAGCGCGCCCUUCCAGACUCCAUCCACGACACCGGCGACCACGGCGGUGCUAAGCACUAGAUGCUUUACCAAGUAUGACGAUAUGAAGAUAUGAUGCUCAAGAG
This 359-nucleotide unclassified non-coding RNA is filed under the name Hevea brasiliensis (rubber tree). Lineage: Eukaryota; Viridiplantae; Streptophyta; Magnoliopsida; Malpighiales; Euphorbiaceae. The record is from RNAcentral.